GCUAGUAAUGGCAGGUCAGCAUACUGCCGUGAAUACGUUCCCGGGCCUUGUACACACCGCCCGUCACACCAUGAGAGUUGGGGAUACCCAAAGCCCGUGAGCCAACUAUAAAGAGGCAGCGGUCUAAGGUAGAAUCAAUGAUUGGGGUGAAGUCGUAACAAGGUACC
This 167-nucleotide ribosomal RNA is filed under the name uncultured bacterium. RNAcentral's name for it is "partial 16S ribosomal RNA". It matches the Rfam family "Bacterial small subunit ribosomal RNA", at positions 1334 to 1500 of the family's 1533-position model. The record is from RNAcentral.